AUGUGGCCCCUGUAUAGGCAGAACUUUAUGGUGUGGGAACUUGGUAAAACCAAAUCCCUUGCCACCGACAGAAAGAAGAGGGAAUAUAUCCAGAGGUCACGCUCCUCAAGGAGGAAUAUAUCCAGAGGUCGUGUUCCUCAAGGAGGUCACCAACUCCUAACUGCUUGUCCAGCUAUGACCUCAUUAGGGGAUUAACCCAUCUAUGAGGUAUGUGCCUUUGUGAUUAAAUCACCUCUCAGUGCCACUAGCUAAAGGACAAGAUCUUCCCGGGAUCCAUGUGUGGCAGGCAUUUCUUAUCCAAACCUGUGAAAGCACAGGAGACACAAGUCCAGGGAAGAGGUAUGUCGUGGGACAAAACUUUUCCUAGUGAGACACUAGACACAUCAACUACUCACCAAAGAUAGGGAACCUACCACAGACCAAAGUAUGGAUACCACCAAAGAACAACCGGGUGAACCAAUGAGUUUUAUGAGGGUUACUUACAGGAAUAUGGGUCCUCAUCAGCAGAACUGAUUCAGAUAGCUGCACCACCAAGUCUAGGCAUAUUUUAGGCACAGCACAAUUUGGUGAAAAUUUUCUUGGUGAUAUUUAACUCAAUCCCAUGUGGACAAUAAAGUUUAAGGUGUGACUUUAUCAAUACUUUGUAAAGUACAUGUGACAUAGAAUCCAUAUAGAUUGACUACAUUGAUACCUUCCAUAAUGAUCAGUUCUGUAGAUGACAUGCUCAUGAUAAGAGUCUGGAAGAAGAUUUGAUGUGGUCUUGGCCACACGGCAGAAAAGGUCACCAGACUGUUAGUGACAUCUGCUUCCAGCCUUCUGGGUGGGUAACAAAUUAUACACGCCUUCUUUUGAAGGAACAACUCUGUGAUUAAGGUUACUGGUUUCUACCUGGAGGUGGUGGUACACACCUUUCUUUAGUCCCAGCACUUGGGAGGCAGAGGCAGGUGGAUCUCUUUUUUUUUUUUUUUUUUAAAGAUUUAUUUAUUUAUUAUAUAUAUAAGUACACUGUAGCUGUCUUCAGAUACACCAGAAGAGGGCAUCGGAUCUCUUUACAGAUGGUUGUGAGCCACCAUGUGGUUGCUGGGAAUUGAACUCAUGACCUCUGAAAGAGCAGUCGGGUGCUCUUAACUGCUGAGCCAUCUCUCCAGCCCGGCAGGUGGAUCUCUUAAGUUUGAGGCUAGCCUAGUCUAUAGAACAAGUCCCAGGACAACCAGGGUUACACAGAGAAACCCUGUCUUGAAAAAACAAAGCAUUCCUGGUUCCCCUGUUGCUUAUCUGUGAGCACAAGGACCUUCGUCCCUACCAUAGGAAGAGAUGGCUCAACAUGUUAUAAAUACUUGUUCCUCAUUACGUCACUAAAGUACCAUUCAUGACUAAUCCAGAGGAGGUGAUGGGCCAAUGACUAUUCGAGGUUUUGUUUGUCAAGUAACUGUCAUAUUCUUUCUAUGAUAUAAUCUAAGUUUGGAAAAAAACCAUUACAUUGUAAGUUAUCAAUGGAGAAAGUUUUAUUUCCAAAUUACUAUCCACUUCCAAAACAGCCAUGUUAAACUGUGGAAAGACAAGGCUUAUUUAGAAUUAUCAAGAUUCAGGGAAGAGUAAAGACAUAUGUUAUUCACAGAAAAGCAUUAGUGGAAACAAGUCCAGUCAAGCGAGGCUGUUGGGAGGCAAAUGACUGAAUCGAAUAAGUAUAAAUGUGUGUAUACACACAUAAUAUUCUACUGUUAUUACUAUUAUCAUUUAUUGCUGGCCAUGAUGCAGCUAUCUUGCCUUAGCUUCCCAAGUGCUGGUGUUAGAGGCCUGAGCCACCACACCCAGCCUUGCUUAUCUUUAUAGACAGGGAUCCUAUUAGUUCAACCAGAGUUCUAUGUGUCUCAGAGGAAAUUUAGUGAAAGUUACAUUUUUACUGCUUUAAGACAGGUGGAAUUCAGAUGAUACCAGAAAGACUAAUGGCUUUCCUGAGAUACUAAAGUAUCUUAUUCCCUGUGUUUAAAUGGCUCUCAUGACAUUAGAUGCAGCAUUCUGGCAAGUGUGUCUUUUGGCUAUCAUUUAAAUAUUAGUUUUUAAGUUCUAAAACCAAUAUUGGUACUUUUAUUUCUUCAGUAAUCAUUCCUUUUUUUUUUUUUUUUUUUUUCGGAGCUGGGGACCGAACCCAGGGCCUUGCACUUGCUAGGCAAGCGCUCUACCACUGAGCUAAAUCCCCAACCUCUCUACCACUGAGCUAAAUCCCCAACCCCUUCAGUAAUCAUUCAUUCACUAUUAUACUACAGGAAUUUAAUAACACACCACAAAAAGGGCCUAAAAUAAAAUGAAAUUAAGCUCCAAAUGAAGGACUUCCUAGAAGAGUGUUUAGGUAACCAAUAGGUGCCAAGAAAGGAAGGAAGGAAGGAAGGAAGGAAGGAAGGAAGGAAAAGUCAUGAUAAAGGACAUCAGGUAGAAUGUGAGUCUCAGAGUCAAAUUUCUAAGGCAGCAGAAACCAGGGCAUAGACCACACAAGUUAACUAACCAUAUGACUGAUUUUUGUUGUAUUUGUGUGUUUGUGCACACCAGAGCAAGCAUGUGAAGGCCUAAGGGCAGCUUAUAGGAAUUGGUUUUUUCCUUCAACCAUGUUGGUCUCAGGGACUGAACCCAUGAUUGGUGGAGAUCACCUUUACUCUUGCUAUCUUCUUUCAUGAAUUAAAAUUAUUCCUUUAGUUUCAUGACCAAAAACAUUCAGUUCUGUGCUGUCAUCGUGAGAGUUAGACUCCUUGGUAGGUAGACAGAGGCGUCAUGGCUAAGUAAAAGUCAUGGAAUUUCCAAGAUGGCCAAAUUCUUCCUCAACCUCUGGACUUGAGACAAAAGCCUAGCAGCCUUUGUCUCCUACUGAUGGACUGACUCAACAAAUUCAAGGCCUAUUUAGGACAAGUCACAUGUUUCAGACCAAUCAACCAUUCCAUCUUCUUCAGACUGACCAGCCCAAAGGUAGGGUUGACUCUUUAGAGGCCUUAGAACUCCCAUACCCCAAGAAGAGACUUCAUCUUCAGAGUAUCCUAUUUGCUUUGCAGAGGAUCUUUUUCUCUGUGUGUCUGCUGUCUGGAUGCAUCCCUCACCCUCCAAUAAACUUCUGCCUUUAACUGUUGACUCUGAGGUGCUUGAGAUUUCCUGUUGCUACCUGUUGCCUCCAGGAUUUUUCCUGCCUUUUAGCUCUUUAAAACUGGCAGAGAAAAUCCAAUCAAGACCCCCAGACUGGAUCAUUUCCAGACUAUGAAUAUGAAGUAGAAAGCUCCAGGCCCCAUUCAUACCAUGGUCUUCUCUUUGUAGUGUUUUGUACUACAGCUGUCGGGGCUCCACAUCUGCUCUAUUCUGUGUCCUUAUAGUAAGUCCACAACCUCCACUCCGACAGGAGGCCUGCUGGUAUUGCUGCUUGCCCUCUGGAGAAGGCUUCAACUCCAAAAAAUAGAAGUGUUGGACUUUGAGCACAGACAGGCUAUGGGGGCAGUUUUGGAGGUAUAUCUAUAAAUGUGUGUGCCCAAAGAGGUAAGGCGCCUGGUUUUGAUAAGCUGCCAAGCCAUUGAUUCCACCAAACUGUUUUUAGAGCUAGAUUAGAAUUAAUAUCAUGAAAGUCCAAGUGUUUAUUUUUGACAAACAUUUGUCCAUUCUUUGGGGCAUUUAAUGUCAGAAAUUGUCCGUCUAGUUUGGAUUUUGGUCGGUUCAUGAGUAGGAAGACAGCUUCAGGGCAUGAUCACAUUAGGAAGUCUGGCCUUGGGACACUUUGGUUUCAGCCUAGUGAAGUUUGGAGACCUAACCCCAGACAGUAAACAAAUGUGUAUUCCUUUGAUCCCCUACGUGGUGGCCAUUUGUUGCUACAGCCCUAGGACACAUGGUGACUUUCAGUUCUGCAAACAAAGAUAAAACUUCACUAGCAUCUCUAUCCCAAAGGCCCCGUAAAAAGAGAAAAGCCACAAUCAAGUUUUUUUCUGUUGAAUGUGGCCCACCAGACUGAAGCCAGCCAUCUCUAAAACGAGGAAUAAAGGUCAGUUGUCACUUAAUUCUGAGUUAGACAACCAGUGAGAGUCAGUUAUGUAUGCCGAGAAAAGUAGACUGAAUGAAAGCCUGCAGAAUGGAGAAGGGUACCACCACCCGUGUAGCACAGGCCCGCAGGUUAAAUGGGGGUAAGAUAGCAUCCUUGACAAAUGUAGUUAGUCCUGUUCGUAGCAAAUCACAUACCCCAACUGCAUACAGUGCUGACAGGCUCUGCUUGUUUACUCUCUUGGGUUUAAGGCACUGUCUUAUGACACUGUCAAACGUCAGCCACUGAUGUGCCUAUGAGCAGCAACAUUUUAAGAAUUUUAAACGAAAGCUGUUUCAUAUGAAAAUUAAUACUUAUUCUUAAUAGUUCAUCAAUACCUGUAAGCAUCGUCUGAAGCCUGUGAUCAGACUUGGGAUGUAGAUCAAUGGUAAAAUGCCUACUUACUGUGAAUAGGAAAAAAGCCAGUGAGUUUUGGAAUGAGACUGCGAGCCACUCUAGAUGCCCAUGCCUUGUGAUGUUUGUGCCCUGUUCAAAUCAGCUACGAAUCAAUACAUUAUCUUGAGUAAAUUAGGUGGACUAGAUCUUUAGUAAGUAUCUAUAUACACACACAUGUAUACACACAUCUUAGUAUUUAGAAAGUUUACAUUUUACAUGUAUAUAAAAUAGCAUCUGCUUCUUGAAAUUAUCAGUGUUAAUGUCUUUAGAUGUAUUUUUAUUGUCUUAAUUAUGUCUAUGUCUUAGACUUUCUGUUACUCUGCUAAAACAACAUAGCCAAAAACAUUCCUCCUGGGGAGGAAAGUGUUUAUUUUGCUUACAUAUCAUAGUUUAUCAUUGAAGAAAGUCCUGAUAGAAACUUAAACGGGACAGGAACUUGGAGGCAGGAAUUUUUACAGUAGCCAUGGGAGGAAUGUGUUGCUUACUGGCUUGCUCCUUUGUGACAUGCUCAGCCUGCUUUCUUAUAGGACCUAUGGGUUCUUAUAGAAGCCAGGACCACUAACCCAGGGGUGGUACUAUUGGGCCUUGGCUGGGCCUUCCCACAAAUAAUCACUAAUUAAGAAAUUGCCUAGGGUUGGGGAUUUAGCUCAGUGGUAGAGUGUUUGCCUAGCAAGCGCAAGGCCCUGGGUUCGGUCCCCAGCUCUGAAAAAAAGAAAGAAAAAGAAAAACAAACAAAGAAAUUGCCUACAGCCAGAUCUUAUGGAGACAUUUUUUUUUUUUUUUGGUUCUUUUUUUUUCGGAGCUGGGGACCGAACCCAGGGCCUUGUGCUUCCUAGGUAAGCGCUCUACCACUGAGCUAAAUCCCCAGCCCCUAUGGAGACAUUUUCUUAAUUGAGGCUCCCUCCUCUCUGUGAUACAAGUUUGUGUCAACUUGACAGAAAAAGUAGUGUGUGUGUGUGUGUGUGUGUGUGUGUGUGCUCGCGCGCGUGCAUGUAAGUAUAGGUUCCCCUGUGGAAGUCAGAGGUCAGAUCCCCCUGAAGCUGGAGGUACAGGGAGUUAUAAGCUGCUUGAUGUGGUUGCUGGGAACUGAACUUAGGUCCUCUGGAAUUGUUUUGAUAACAAAAUUCCCAGCCCCACAACAGUGUGUGCUCUUAACUAUUGAGCCGUCUCUCAGGCCUGGGUGACGGUGAAUUUAAUAGGUAGAAAGUUGGCCUCCAUAUUUUUAGGUCCUAAUUCUUAUACAUGUGAAUUUGUUGUCUUAUAACCAAAGGCUAUUACAUUGUAGUUAAAUUAAAACAAAACAAGACUCUGGCAUUUGUCUGCAAUUCCAACACUCAGACACUGAGACUGGAGACUGUUGAUGCCGACCUAGGGUAAUGUCUAAGACUCUGUCUUAAAGAACUGGGCCAGCCAGCCAUGCUGGUACAUGCUUGCAAACAAAACUUCGGAGGUGGAGACAGCAAGAGGACCAGGAGUCCAAGGUCACCCUCCACUCCAUAUAGAUACAGGCCAACCUGAGCUACAUGACCCCCUCUUCCAGUCUCAGGAAAAGGAAACAGGAAGUAAACACAAACAAAACAUAAAACUUACAUGCUUGUAGAUUUUUCUCCAUUUCUUGCUUGUUUGUUUUGAGAUUGUUUAUUUUUUCCAGACUGGGUUUCUCUGUCUCCCCACAGGAGUUCUAGAACUAUCUUUAUAGACCAUGCUGGACUUGAACUCACAGGUUUUUUGCCUGCCUCUGCCUCUCAAAUCCUGGGAUUAAAUAUGUGUACCACUACACCCAAUAAUUUAUUUUACUUUAUAUUUUUGCUAUUUCUUGUCAAUACAGAAAAGUAAAGAGCCGGGCUUGAAAAUACUCACCGAGUAAAAAGCACUGUUGUUUAAUAGCUUAUAGAGUUUAAGCAAAUUACUUAAUAUAGGCAAUUCCUUAAACUUUUUUUCACCUGUAAAAGGAUGUCGUGAAGAGCAACUAAAGUUUCUGAUUUUUCCUGGGAAACUUAUUACCAUGAAUAACCAUGACUGUGUCAUUGAAAAUCAACAGUAAACUCCCAAAGGUUGUCAGGUGAAGUCAGAAUACACAAAUACACUUACCUUUUUUGUCCUAGGAAAUAAAAAUUACCCACCUAAUGGUCAGGAUUUAAUGCCUACUGUGGCCCCAGGGACUUUUGGAUUGAUGGCUGUGAAAAAUUCAUCAAUUUUUAAAAUCUUAUUUAUUGACAAGUACGUGCAAGGCUCUGGUCUGGGCAUUGGGGAGAUAGUGAUGGAUACAAUUCUUUCUUUAAGGAAUAUAAUGUACUGUGUAUGAUGGCUAGUUUUGUCAGUUUGACACAGGCUAGAGUCAUCUAAGAGAAGGGAAACUGAUAAAAUGCCUCCAUAAAAUCAGGCUGCAGACCAUGUCUGUAGGCAUUCUCUUAAUUAGUGAAUUAGUGAUUGAUGGGGGAGGAACCUGCCCAUUAUGGGUAGAGCUACCCCUGGGCUGGUGGUCCUGGGUUCUAUGAGAAAGCAGACUGAAUAGUUUCAAUAAAAAUGGUGCACACACACACACACACACACACACACACACACACAACACACACACACAACACACACACACCCCCAUAAGCCAAUAGAGAGGCUAUUAGGAGACAUGACCUUGUUGCAGUAGGUGUGGUGGUAUUGGAGGACCUGUGCCACUGCGGGGUGGGCUUUGAGGUCUCAUAUGCUCAAACAUGGUCAGUGUGUCUGUAUCGCUUUGCUGCCUGCGGAUCAAGAUAUAGAACUCUCAGUUCCUUCUCCAGCACCAUGUCUGCCUGCACACUGCCAUGCUUCCCACCAUGACAUUAAUGCUAACCUCUGAGACUGUAAGCCAGCCCCAGUUAAAUGUUUUUCUUUGUAAGAGUCAUGUACAUGAUUAUGGUGUGUCUUCACAACAAUAAAACCCUAAGACACUGAACAAGCCAUGAGGAGCAAACCAUUGAGCAGCCCUCCCAUGGCCUCUGAAUGAGCUCCUGCCUCCAGCUCCUGCCCUGCUUUGAAUUCCUGUCCUGACUCCCUUCUUGAUGGACUAUGAUGUGGAAGUGUAAGCCAAAUAAACCCUUUCCUUCCCAA
Non-coding RNA from Rattus norvegicus (Norway rat), 7528 nucleotides. The record is from RefSeq and is a predicted model, not a curated record. Lineage: Eukaryota; Metazoa; Chordata; Mammalia; Rodentia; Muridae.